This is a long non-coding RNA of Limulus polyphemus (Atlantic horseshoe crab), 159 nucleotides long. RefSeq lists it as uncharacterized. The record is from RefSeq and is a predicted model, not a curated record. NCBI's taxonomy places the organism in Eukaryota, Metazoa, Arthropoda, Merostomata, Xiphosura, Limulidae. The transcript is spliced from 4 exons.
CACUGUUGAAGUAGUGAGAAGAAAAUAAACUGGACAUGAUAGAAACCCCGGAUAUAAAACGUGCUAAUAUAUGUAGCGAGUCUAAAGAAUAGGUCUACAUCCACUUAUUGUACGAGUGUUGUUGUUGUUGAUAACAGUCAAUAACAUGACUGCAGUUGC